GGGGGGGGGGGGGGGGGGGGGGGGGGGGGGGGGGGGGGGGGGGGGGGCGGAGGUGGGGGGGGGGGGAUGAGUGGCGAACGGGUGGGUAACGCGGGAGUAACCUGCCCCCUGCUUUGGGAUAACGCGCGGAAACGGGUGCUAAUACUGGAUAUUCACUGGUCUUCGCAUGGGGGUUGGUGGAAAGGGUUUUUCUGGUGGGGGAUGGGCUCGCGGCCUAUCAGCUUGUUGGUGGGGUGAUGGCCUACCAAGGCUUUGACGGGUAGCCGGCCUGAGAGGGUGACCGGUCACAUUGGGACUGAGAUACGGCCCAGACUCCUACGGGAGGCAGCAGUGGGGAAUAUUGCACAAUGGGCGCAAGCCUAAUGCAGCGACGCCGCGUGAGGGAUGGAGGCCUUCGGGUUGUGAACCUCUUUCGCUCAUGGUCAAGCCGCAACAAUGGUUGUGGUGAGGGUAGUGGGUAAAGAAGCGCCGGCUAACUACGUG
RNAcentral lists this ribosomal RNA (483 nucleotides) under uncultured bacterium. RNAcentral describes it as "partial 16S ribosomal RNA". The stretch from base 53 to 483 matches the Rfam family "Bacterial small subunit ribosomal RNA", at positions 39 to 507 of the family's 1533-position model. The record is from RNAcentral.